This 229-nucleotide long non-coding RNA is filed under the name Elaeis guineensis (African oil palm). RNAcentral's name for it is "long non-coding RNA (EGUI_LNC026111)". Lineage: Eukaryota; Viridiplantae; Streptophyta; Magnoliopsida; Arecales; Arecaceae. The record is from RNAcentral.
UUGCAGACCUCUCACUGUUCAAAGUUUGAAAGAGCUGAUCAAUGGCCUUCUGAGCUGAAGUCAACCCGCUUCAAAGAGAGAUGACUACCAACUGGUUAAGAUUAUCGAUUAUUCUCUGAGCCAAACGAAGCUCACCUUGAAGCCGACUUAUCUUAGCGACCGAACCCCACCUGGCUUCAUUAACAAUCUUGGAUGAUGCAAUGGUAUACUCCAGUUUGGAUAUCCUAUC